CAGUAGCCGCGGUAACACGAGGGGGGCAAGCGUUGUUCGGAAUUAUUGGGCGUAAAGGGUGCGUAGGCGGUUUGGCAAGUUUGGUGUGAAAUCUUCGGGCUCAACUCGAAGUCUGCAUCGAAAACUGCCGGGCUUGAGUAUGGGAGAGGUGAGUGGAAUUUCCGGUGUAGCGGUGAAAUGCGUAGAUAUCGGAAGGAACACCUGUGGCGAAAGCGGCUCACUGGACCAUAACUGACGCUGAUGCACGAAAGCUAGGGGAGCAAACAGGAUUAGAUACCCCCGUAGUCCCUGUCUCUUAUAC
This 301-nucleotide ribosomal RNA is filed under the name uncultured bacterium. RNAcentral's name for it is "partial 16S ribosomal RNA". It matches the Rfam family "Bacterial small subunit ribosomal RNA", at positions 509 to 807 of the family's 1533-position model. The record is from RNAcentral.